RNAcentral lists this ribosomal RNA (207 nucleotides) under uncultured bacterium. Its description in RNAcentral is "partial 16S ribosomal RNA". It matches the Rfam family "Bacterial small subunit ribosomal RNA", at positions 568 to 774 of the family's 1533-position model. The record is from RNAcentral.
UGCGUAGGCGGAUUGGCAAGUCAGAAGUGAAAUCCAUGGGCUUAACCCAUGAACUGCUUUUGAAACUGUUAGUCUUGAGUGAAGUAGAGGUAGGCGGAAUUCCCGGUGUAGCGGUGAAAUGCGUAGAGAUCGGGAGGAACACCAGUGGCGAAGGCGGCCUACUGGGCUUUAACUGACGCUGAGGCACGAAAGUGUGGGUAGCAAACA